ACGGCUCAGUAACACGUGGACAACCUACCCUAUGGAGGGGGAUAACCCCGGGAAACUGGGGAUAAUACCCCAUAGACUAUGAAUGCUGGAAUGCUUUGUAGUUGAAAGGUCCGCCGCCAUAGGAUGGGUCUGCGGCCGAUUAGGUUGUUGUUGGGGUAACGGCCCAACAAGCCUGUAAUCGGUACGGGUUGUGGGAGCAAGAGCCCGGAGAUGGAUUCUGAGACACGAAUCCAGGCCCUACGGGGCGCAGCAGGCGCGAAAACUUUACAAUGCGGGAAACCGUGAUAAGGGAACUCCGAGUGCCCGUAAAAUCGGGCUGUCCAUCUGUUUAAAUAACAGGUGAAGAAAGGGCCGGGCAAGACCGGUGCCAGCCGCCGCGGUAACACCGGCGGCUCAAGUGGUGGCCGCUAUUAUUGGGCUUAAAGGGUCCGUAGCCGGACCAGUUAGUCCCUUGGGAAAUCUUACGGCUUAACCGUAAGGCUGCCAAUGGAUACUGCUGGUCUUGGGACCGGGAGAGGCAAGAGGUACCUCAGGGGUAGGAGUGAAAUCCUGUAAUCCUUGAGGGACCGCCAGUGGCGAAGGCGUCUUGCUAGAACGGGUCCGACGGUGAGGGACGAAAGCUAGGGGCACGAACCGGAUUAGAUACCCGGGUAGUCCUAGCCGUAAACGAUGCGAGCUAGGUGUCACGUGGAUUGCGAAUCCAUGUGGUGCCGUAGGGAAACCGUGAAGCUCGCCGCCUGGGAAGUACGGCCGCAAGGCUGAAACUUAAAGGAAUUGGCGGGGGAGGAG
RNAcentral lists this ribosomal RNA (789 nucleotides) under uncultured archaeon. Its description in RNAcentral is "bacterial SSU rRNA". It matches the Rfam family "Archaeal small subunit ribosomal RNA", at positions 85 to 879 of the family's 1478-position model. The record is from RNAcentral.